Molecule: ribosomal RNA, 490 nt
Filed under: uncultured bacterium
Lineage: Bacteria
Description: bacterial SSU rRNA
Rfam family: Bacterial small subunit ribosomal RNA
Source: RNAcentral
GAUUAGAGUUUGAUCCUGGCUCAGGAUUAACGCUAGCGGCAGGCCUAAUACAUGCAAGUCGAACGGCAGCGGGUGUAGCAAUACAUGCCGGCGAGUGGCGCACGGGUGCGUAACGCGUAUGCAAUCUACCUGUAACUGGGGAAUAGCCUUCCGAAAGGAAGAUUAAUACCGCAUAAUAUCACGAUUCGGCAUCGUUUUGUGAUCAAAACUCCGGUGGUUACAGAUGAGCAUGCGUGACAUUAGCUAGUUGGUGAGGUAACGGCUCACCAAGGCGACGAUGUCUAGGGGGUCUGAGAGGAUGAUCCCCCACACUGGUACUGAGACACGGACCAGACUCCUACGGGAGGCAGCAGUAAGGAAUAUUGGACAAUGGCCGCAAGGCUGAUCCAGCCAUGCCGCGUGCAGGAUGACGGUGCUCUGCAUUGUAAACUGCUUUUGUUCGGGAAUAAACCCUUUCACGUGUGAGAGGUUGAAUGUACCGAAAGAAUAA